This 316-nucleotide long non-coding RNA is filed under the name Zostera marina. Its description in RNAcentral is "long non-coding RNA (ZMAR_LNC003017)". The record is from RNAcentral. Lineage: Eukaryota; Viridiplantae; Streptophyta; Magnoliopsida; Alismatales; Zosteraceae.
UUUCAAAGAGCUUCCAAAAAUUCUCAAGUGUUCUAGCUUUGCAAAGCUUCAAAAGCUUUCCAACUUCUACUUCUAAUCCUCUUGUUCAUCUUUACAAGUAAGAAGUUUUGUGUGUUUAAUAUUCCACUCCUCUAAUCAUCUCUUGUGUGUGUCCACUUUGCUUGAGAGGUUUGUCUCAAUAUCACCAAAGUAUGAGAGAAAGUUUUUGAGCUAGCUCAACCAUAAAGCUCUAAGUUUGGUUCUAUAAAGCAAUAAAUUUUAGACCAAAACGACCAGAACCAAUAAAGCAAAAAAAUUUAGGGGACCAGUUCGAUGA